RNAcentral lists this ribosomal RNA (429 nucleotides) under Pseudomonadota bacterium. RNAcentral's name for it is "Proteobacteria bacterium partial 16S ribosomal RNA". It matches the Rfam family "Bacterial small subunit ribosomal RNA", at positions 355 to 776 of the family's 1533-position model. The record is from RNAcentral. Lineage: Bacteria; Pseudomonadati; Pseudomonadota.
UGGGGAAUAUUGGACAAUGGGCGAAAGCCUGAUCCAGCCAUGCCGCGUGUGUGAAGAAGGUCUUCGGAUUGUAAAGCACUUUAAGCUGGGAGGAAGGGCAGUAAGCGAAUACCUUGCUGUUUUGACGUUACCGACAGAAUAAGCACCGGCUAACUCUGUGCCAGCAGCCGCGGUAAUACAGAGGGUGCAAGCGUUAAUCGGAAUUACUGGGCGUAAAGCGCGCGUAGGUGGUUCGUUAAGUUGAAUGUGAAAGCCCCGGGCUCAACCUGGGAACUGCAUCCAAAACUGGCGAGCUAGAGUAGGGCAGAGGGAGGUGGAAUUUCCUAUGUAGCGGUGAAAUGCGUAGAUAUAGGAAGGAACACCAGUGGCGAAGGCGACCACCUGGGCUCAUACUGACACUGAGGUGCGAAAGCGUGGGGAGCAAACAGG